UUCAACGGCCGCGGUAUCCUAACCGUGCAAAGGUAGCGUAAUCACUUGUCCUCUAAAUAGGGACCAGUAUGAACGGCUAAAUGAGGGCUAUACUGUCUCCUUUAGUUAAUCAGUGAAACUGAUCUACCAGUACAAAAGCUGGUAUUAAAACAUAAGACGAGAAGACCCUGUGGAGCUUUAAACCUAUGCCACAACAUAUGGNNNNNCAAAAACUUUAAGUUGGGGUGACUUCGGAAAAAAGAUAAACUUCCGAGCAUAAGAACCUCUAACAAAGGCUAACAGGCCAAAGCAAAAUAUGACCCAGUAAAACUGACUAACGAACCAAGUUANCCCAGGGAUAACAGCGCUAUCUUCUUCAAGAGUUCUUAUCGACAAGAAGGUUUACGACCUCGAUGUUGGAUCAGGACACCCAAAUGGUGCAA
RNAcentral lists this ribosomal RNA (422 nucleotides) under Liolaemus scapularis. Its description in RNAcentral is "partial 16S ribosomal RNA". It matches the Rfam family "Bacterial large subunit ribosomal RNA", at positions 1923 to 2558 of the family's 2925-position model. The record is from RNAcentral. Lineage: Eukaryota; Metazoa; Chordata; Lepidosauria; Squamata.